RNAcentral lists this ribosomal RNA (523 nucleotides) under uncultured bacterium. RNAcentral's name for it is "bacterial SSU rRNA". It matches the Rfam family "Bacterial small subunit ribosomal RNA", at positions 70 to 578 of the family's 1533-position model. The record is from RNAcentral.
AACAAUCACUUCGGUGUGCGCUCUUGGGCGUCGAGUGGCGGACGGGUGAGUAAUGCCUGGGAAUCUACCCUAAUGUUGGGGACAACAUAUGGAAACGUAUGCUAAUACCGAAUGUGAUCUACGGAUUAAAGGUGCCCUCUCCUUGGAAGGUAUCGCAUUAGGAUGAGCCCAGGUGAGAUUAGCUAGUUGGUGAGGUAAUGGCUCACCAAGGCGACGAUCUCUAGCUGGUUUGAGAGGAUGAUCAGCCACACUGGGACUGAGACACGGCCCAGACUCCUACGGGAGGCAGCAGUGGGGAAUAUUGCACAAUGAGCGAAAGCUUGAUGCAGCCAUACCGCGUGUGUGAAGAAGGCCCGAGGGUUGUAAAGCACUUUCAAUUGUGAGGAAGGUAGUGUAGUUAAUACCUGCUGUUCUUGACGUUAACUUUAGAAGAAGCACCGGCUAACUCUGUGCCAGCAGCCGCGGUAAUACAGAGGGUGCAAGCGUUAUUCGGAAUUACUGGGCGUAAAGCGCGCGUAGGCGG